CGGACGGGUGAGUAAUGCUUGGGAAUCUAGCUUAUGGAGGGGGAUAACUACGGGAAACUGUAGCUAAUACCGCGUAAUAUCGAAAGAUUAAAGUGUGGGACCCUCGGGCCACAUGCCAUAGGAUGAGCCCAAGUGGGAUUAGGUAGUUGGUGAGGUAAAGGCUCACCAAGCCGACGAUCUCUAGCUGGUCUGAGAGGAUGACCAGCCACACUGGGACUGAGACACGGCCCAG
This 232-nucleotide ribosomal RNA is filed under the name uncultured bacterium. RNAcentral describes it as "partial 16S ribosomal RNA". It matches the Rfam family "Bacterial small subunit ribosomal RNA", at positions 99 to 334 of the family's 1533-position model. The record is from RNAcentral.